This 587-nucleotide ribosomal RNA is filed under the name uncultured Jeotgalibacillus sp. Its description in RNAcentral is "bacterial SSU rRNA". It matches the Rfam family "Bacterial small subunit ribosomal RNA", at positions 338 to 916 of the family's 1533-position model. The record is from RNAcentral. Lineage: Bacteria; Bacillati; Bacillota; Bacilli; Caryophanales; Caryophanaceae.
CCUACGGGAGGCAGCAGUAGGGAAUCUUCCGCAAUGGACGAAAGUCUGACGGAGCAACGCCGCGUGAGUGAAGAAGGUUUUCGGAUCGUAAAACUCUGUUGUUAGGGAAGAACACGUACGAGAGUAACUGCUCGUACCUUGACGGUACCUAACCAGAAAGCCACGGCUAACUACGUGCCAGCAGCCGCGGUAAUACGUAGGUGGCAAGCGUUGUCCGGAAUUAUUGGGCGUAAAGCGCGCGCAGGUGGUUCUUUAAGUCUGAUGUGAAAGCCCCCGGCUCAACCGGGGAGGGUCAUUGGAAACUGGGGAACUUGAGUGCAGGAGAGGAAAGUGGAAUUCCACGUGUAGCGGUGAAAUGCGUAGAUAUGUGGAGGAACACCAGUGGCGAAGGCGACUUUCUGGCCUGUAACUGACACUGAGGCGCGAAAGCGUGGGGAGCAAACAGGAUUAGAUACCCUGGUAGUCCACGCCGUAAACGAUGAGUGCUAAGUGUUAGGGGUUUCGAUGCCCUUAGUGCCGAAGUUAACACAUUAAGCACUCCGCCUGGGGAGUACGGCCGCAAGGCUGAAACUCAAAGGAAUUGACGG